GUGACUACGAGCCAGGUUAGGAGACAGCUGGAGAGGCUCCACCAGAGGAAGGCAGCAGGACCUGAUGGCAUCAGCCCCAGGAUCCUGAGGACCUGCGCCAGCCAGCUGUCUUCUGUCAUCCAACACCUCUACAACCUGAGCCUGAGUCAAGAGAGAAUCCCAGUGCUGUGGAAGACGUCCUGUCUCGUUCCUGUCCCAAAGAAGUCGACUCCAUCUGACCUCAAUGACUACCGACCAGUUGCCCUCACGUCCCAUCUGAUGAAGGUGCUGGAGAGGUUGGUCUUGGCCCACCUGAGGCCGCAGGUGAAGGAGCUCUUAGACCCUCUACAGUUUGCCUACUGGCCCCAUUUGGGAGUUGACGAUGCUGUCAUCUCCCUGCUGCAACGAGCUCAUUUGCAUCUGGAUGGUGGUGGCAUCACUGUGAGAAUCACCUUCUUUGAGUUCUCUAGUGCUUUCAACACCAUCCAGCCACUGCUGCUGGGUGAGAAGCUGCGGGUGAUGGGUGUCGACACCUCCAUGGUCACCUGAAUCACUGACUACCUGACGGACAGGUUUGUCCGUCUCGGCAGUGUUCUGUCUGACGCAUCAGUGAUGCAGGAGCUCCACAGGGGACUGUGCUGUCCCCUUUCCUUUUCACCUUGUACACCACUGACUUUCAGUACAACUCCGAGUCAUGCCACCUGCAGAAAUUUUCUGAUGACUCGGCUGUUGUUGGGUGUAUAAGGGGGGGAAGGGAUGGGGAGUGGGCAGUGGUAGAUAACUUUGUGGAGUGGGCUGGGCGCAAUCACCUGAGGCUGAAUGUCACCAAGACCAGAGAGAUGGUCAUCGACCUCAGGAAGAAGAGGACGGCUCCACAGCCGCUGUGCAUCCUGGGAGAAGAUGUGGAGGAGGUGGAGGUCUACAAGUACCUGGGCGUCCAUAUAAACAACAAACUAGACUGGAAAUCCAACACCGACGCUGUCUACAAGAAGGGGAUGAGCAGACUCUACUUCCUGAGGAAGCUGAGAUCCUUCAACGUGUGCAGCAAGAUGUUGGAGAUGUUCUACCAGUCUGUGGUGGCCAGCGUACUUUUCUUUGCCGUGGUUUGUUGGGGGAGCAGCAUCGGAGCCAGUGACACCAACAGACUCAACAAACUGAUCAGGAAGGCUGGCUCCGUGAUUGGCUGCAAACAGGACACUGUUGAGGCUGUGGUGGAGAGGAGGACACUGAACAAACUGUUAUCCAUCAUGGACAACCCUGACCACCCUCUCCACCUCACUCUGGACAGACAGCGGAGCUCCUUCUCCAACAGACUGUUGCAGAUCCGCUGUCGUAUGGUCCUAAAAGUUCAUUCAAAUAAAAAGGUGCAAGCCCAUUAAGUGCUUUAAAAACAAACAUUAAGAUCUUAAAAUCACCUCUGAAAUGUAUCGGGAGCCAGUGUAGCGCUGCCAAGACCGGAGUUAUAUGGUCACAUUUGCGUGUGCUGGUUGAAAGUCGGGCCUCUGCAUUCUGGACCAGCUGUAGUCAGCUGAGUGAGGACUGACUGAUACCAAGGUACAGUCCAUUGCAGUAGUCCAGUCUUGUAGAGAUAAAAGGAUGUACAGCUCUCUCAAAGUCUAAAAAUGUUAAAAACGGUUUAACUUUUGAGAGCAUUCUUAAAUAAUAAAACCCAGCUUUAACUCCAGCAUUGAUUUGUGUAUCUAGUUUAAAAUCAGAGUUGACACUACAGGCAUGACAAAGGGUUCAAAAGGACCCAGGUCCGUUGUGGAGUCACCUGACAUGCCACUGGGUUUAAGAACAAUGAUUUCUGUUUUGCUUUCAAAACAAUUUAAAAGCAAUUUAAGAAAACUUCCAUUGUUUCUUUUCAGGGGCAAGUAGAUCUGUGAGGCAUAGAAAUGAAAAGAAAUGUCGUAUUUCCUUAAAAUUUAUCCAAGGGGAAGAACAUACAAUGAGAACAGGAUAGGUCCAGGAAUAGAGCCCUGGGGGACCCCACAAGAAAGAGGGGAUGAGGACGAGUUAGCACUCCCAAAGGUCACUUGAAAACUCCUCUGAUGCAGAUAGGACCUAAACCAUUCUAAGGCCAUUCCUUUAAUGCCAACACAGUGCUCAAGUCGGGAGAUGAGUAUAUCGUGGUCAACUGUGUCAAACGCUGCUGUCAGAUCUAAAAGCAUGAGGAGAGCACAAUCACCAGUGUCAGUUAAAAUGAAAAGGUCAUUAAAAACUCUUAAAAGUUCUGACUCAGUGCUAUGGAAAGAUUUUAAACCAGGCUGGAACACCUUGGGAAUGUUUUAUUUUAUUAAAAACAACUGUAAUUGUGAAAAGACCACCUUCCCUAAAAUCUUUGAAAUGAAGUUUAGAGAUAGGGCGGUAGUUUGAGAGCACUGAUGGGUCCAGAUUUUUUCUUUAAUUAGCUGCUGUACUACUGCCUGUUUAAAAUACAAAGGGACAACACCACAAGUCAGGCUACUUUAUGAUCUCCUGUAAACUUGUUCCAAUCAUGCCAAACCUCUUUAAAAAGACGAGGUGCGAUGAUACCAGACAGACAAGUAGAUGGUCUCAGUUUUGUGCGAACAUCUGAGAGACAGGAAAGAGAAACUGGCUCAAAUUGGUAAAAAAAAAAAAAAAAACUGGGGAGUAACUAAUGGGUCAGAUGAUGGGGUUAAAAUAUUGGCUCGUAUCAUGUCAAUUUUAUUAACGAAAAAGUUUAAAAACUUUUCACAAGAGACUUUCCUCAGUAAUGCAUUACUUUUGUGGUUUAAGUAACCAAGUUACUAACUUACUUUUUUUUAAUACAAAGUAAGUAAUAACCGUAACUAGUAACUGCUUUUUAGUAACUAGCACAACACUGCUCAUACACAAGUAAAAGUUGCUCAAAGUAUUACUUAAGUUAAAGUACUGGUACCUGCUUUUAAAGAGACUUGUGUUUUUGAAGUACUUGAAAAAAUCUAAAAACAUUGUAUUUUCUCAGUUCAUGUUUUCCGUCCAGAAUACAUGAGUGUAUAUCCUGUCACAGUCUGUAUUUAGAAAACAUCAUUUACACUUUUUAAAGUCACAUGCUAAGAUUUACAAAAUAACUGGACAAGAAAAUAGCAGUGAAGUCACUACAAGCACUGCCAGCUUGGUAUUAACUAUUAUUCUGGAAUCAAACAAAUAUUUCGCUACAUGCCUUGACAUGUUUUCUCAGAUUGGAUGGUGAAUUUCUGUAGGCAAACAUUUAAAGGGAUAAGAAUCAAUCUUUACUUGAAAAACUUCAACCAUGAAGAUAUGACCAUGGAUGCUUAAGGAGAGAAUUAUCAUUCACCUCCGCCAUCAUCAUAGCAAAAAUGAUUAGCUACCUCAUUUAAGUGAUUAUUCCUCUGUAUGUUUAUUGAUGGAUCGCAAUGCAAUGUUAAGGUGCAUCUCACUCUCUAUUGUGCUGGACUGAAAAGGCCCAAUGCACAAAAUAUAUUGCUAAGUCCAUGUCAGGUCUUUCAUAGAUCAAUAAAUAUAAUAAAACUUUAUAGUCAUAGAGUGACGGGCUUAACUGAUUGAAAAAAUUACCUAAUUUAUUUCUCAUCAUGGAUUACAGCUCAGCCUUCAAUACAAUCAGGCCGCUGAAGCUGACCACUAAACUGGCUGACCUGGGAGUACCAAGACCCACCUGUAACUGGAUCCUUGACUUCCUCACAGACAGACCUCAGGUGUUGAGGAUGGGAAAGAAGGUCUCUGCAGAGCUCACAGUGAGCACAGGAACACCACAGGGCCACUGCCUCAGCCCUAGACUCUUCUUCCUUUACACAUAUGACUGUGCCUUCACCCAUGAAAGCGAGAACAUCUUCAUUAAGUAUGCAGAUGACGCGACCAUCCUUGGUCUCAUCAGAGGAGGGGAUGAGUCUGCAUACAGGGCUCUGAUCUAUAGGAUAACUGUCUAUGGAGAGGACUACGGCCUUGUUCUUAACAGAGACAGAACAAAAGAACACCCCCCCAGACACUCACCAUUAAGGGGACGGAGGUGGAGCGGACUGAUAGCCACAAGUUCCAGGGGCUUCACCUCAUAGAGAACCUCAGCUGGGCAAAAAACACUACUGCUUCAGUGAAAAGAAAAGAGCUCAGAAGAGACUGUAUUUCAUCAGACUGUUGAAGAAGGCAGAACUCAAAUGUCAGCCCCUCACCCAGGCCUACAAAGGACUUGUUGAAAGCAUCCUCACCAGUGGUUUCACAGUAUGGUACAAGAACACCACCAGCUACAGCGGGUUGUCAAAACUGCAGAGAGAAUCACUGGCCCUCAUUUAUCAAUCUUGCGUAGAACUGAGUGCAGGAUUCAUCGUACGAUAGGACACACGUGAGAUUUAUGAAAGGGUUCGUAUCUGACCAAUCCCAGCGCACAUAUGAUCGGGUCUUCAUAAAUGCGGCGGCUGAAAUCGAUCGUCAUUAACAUGUCACGCCCUUAAAUAGUCAUGGUUCAGAAGCCUCGCCCACUAAGGUCAAACAUGAAAGAGGAGAAAUAUAAGAAAAUGAGAUCCUCGCAUCUGUGGUGAAAACUAACAAAGAUUUUCUCUUUGGAAGCAUCAAAACUGGUAUAAAAGCUGGAGCAGGAUUAUGGAGGUGGUGAACAGCGCUGCAGCGGAAUAGUGGACAGUGGCUGAAGUUUAAAUAAAUCAUUAGUCAAUAAGUUGCUCAUGAUGAUAAAUUAAUAUCUCAUACAUGCCUCGUAUUUUUUUAUUGCCAUGACAUAGGGUAUGUUGCUCCUAUUAUUGAAAGUAUUUAUUUUUAACUUGUUGCGUCUUUGUUAUAUAGAGCAGACUGGAGAGUCUGACAGAGGCUGAACAAAAGUAAUUAUUAACCUCACCAAACGAUGUGUUUGGUGUUAACCCUGAGUCACAUUUUUAUGGAUUUCUAUUGGAUUUUUAUCAGUGAUUAAAUAGCAAGAGCACUUUCUAAACUUAUACUUUACAUGUCAGAAUCCAUGGAUAAGGUCCUGUCUCCUCUGUACAGCACCUUUGUGGAGUCUUUCCCUGUUAUUGUUCUCUGGGCAUCAGGUCCUCACGUUGCACUGGCACAGCCAGCGACACUCCAUUCACAAGUGCAACAUUGUGCAAAACUGUGUUGGCCCAGAUGAUGUCCCACACCCUUUCAGGAGUGUACAACAACAUCCCUGCUGCUGGGCCAAGACAGAGACACCUGCCUUUUAGGAGUUAAACGCAGCGCUCCACAGUGGCGCGUGUGCAUGUGUGCGCAGUGUUAAAACGGCGCUCCUGCUCUGUGGCAGUGUUUCUGGGCAGAGUCUUUGAUGAAAUCUGGCUGAUUGUGCCUAAUGAAAGGUUUGCUGCCCUGCAGAACCACACUGACUCAAACUUGCGUACACAAUAUCAGACCUGUCGUGAGAUUUGGUCAUGGCGUACACUCACGUGCAGAUUGAUAAAUGCUGAUCCUCACGUCAAAAUUUUUGUACGCAAGGUGUACGCAAGUUUUCUGCCAUACGCAAGCUUGAUAAAUGAGGGCCACCAUCUCUGAGCUCCCCUCCAUGAAUACCAUCUAUACCCAGUGCAGCAGGAGAAAAGUGCAGAGCAUUGUCAGGGACCAACACCACCCAGCCCAUGCUCUAUUCCAGUGGACAGACUCAGGCUACAACCUAAGACACCACAGACGUGUGAGCAUCAGCACUCAUAGGGCCCGCUGAUACAACAGCUUUUGCCCUGCCACUGUCAUGCUGGUGGCACAUGACAUUUAAGAGGGUAAAAACCUCAGCUACCUUACUAGGCCUGCAGCUUUCAUCAUGUGCAUGCAUUGCGCACACACAUACCGACAUACUGUACUAACACACACACACACAAACACACACACACACACACACACACACACACACAUACUUUUGGAACGUACUUUUGAUCUACAUAUACAGUAGGGCUGUCAUGAUAUCAUAUUUACACUUAAUGAUUAUCAUGGGCAAAAAAUGUCACAAUAACGAUAUUAAUCAAUGACAAUCAAUCAAAUUUGUCUUUGUAUCCCAAUGUUAUUUUCAGUUUUUUAUUUUGUAUUCAUUUCUUAAGUGAAUUUGAGUCGUUUUGAUGAGUUUUGUUUUUCUAUGCACACUGAAUGCAUCACAAUUCCACGAAUGGCAGUCUUAUGGUGAUAUGGUCGAGUCCUGUGAUGGGCUAAUCCGAGGAGAGGGACAGUUGUUGAAGAAUAUCCUGGUGAGUGUAAAUGUAUGCAUUUAGCAGUCUGUUCGCAAACAUAUUAACAAAUAGGGAGAAUUUGUGUGCACUUUAAACUAUAAAACCAGUCAGGAUAUGUUAUGUCUUGUGUGGGAGUGAUUGUUUUUUGCUGUAAUGGAGUUGUUAACUGUGUUAGCAGGGAAGAAAACUUAGCUAGCACACUGUGUUUUUUUGAUGGAGCACUGCACAGGAGUUGACGCACGUGGUGUGGAUUUAAUGUGAGCCUGCUACAAGGCUAAUGUGCAUGUCUCACGAUUCAUUUAUUGAUGUUUUUGUUUGUUUUUUUUAUAUAAGAAAAUGUAUUGGCCAGUAACAAGGGUAACUUGUGGCAAAACCUGUUUAUUAUUCUUGAAAUCCAAGUGCAUGUAUUUCAUAUUAGGUGGAUUAUACAUUUUAUUUUGCACAUUGAGUAACUGCUCUGCAUGUUUUGUGCAGGCUGUUUUUUUUUUUUGUUGAUAGAGUCACUGACAGAAUGAGCUGUGUCGUCUGUGGACUGGAUUUCGCCUGAAGGGUCUGCAAAGGACAUUCUGGAUCUGAUGACCACCCGGUUGCAAGGAGGGUGGUAGGACAAACAAAUGGAUUUCCCAUCCCCUUGGAGAUUUACAUUUUUUUUUUAUGCCAUCCAAGAUCUCAGACCUUUUUUUUCAUUUUUUUGUUUCAUUUUAUUUGACAGGCCUGACGCACACUGACAAACACAUAUACACACACACGCGCACAUAAGAACCUGAUGGUCAAAGGGACCAUUGAAUCCUAACAAGGGAAGUGAACUGAGUGUGACCAAUGAAUGGACAGUAUUGAAAUUAAUGACAGGUUAUUCAAUUGAUUGUAUGUUUUUUUUCUCUUUGCUCCUUUUGUUCUGUUCAUGCCUGUGUCUUGGGAUACCUAUGUUUUUUCUUGUUCUUUUGAAGAAGUCUCGUAGUAAGUAUGGUCAAUAUCUUGCCAAUACACGUUCUACUCUCUCACUGAAUUAAUUGUCAGAAUCUUAUUGUGGUUGGAGGUUUCUUUUCACUCAACAGAGUUACCAUUGCCAAUCUCCUUACGAAUCCUAGUCAUUGAGCCCUGCGUGUGUAGAUUUAGAAAAGGGACGUGUUAACUUAGAUUUUGAUUUUCCUUUUUUUUCUGACUGCAUAGAAGGCAAGGGUGACAUCUUCAACUUUAUGUUGUUGUCUCUUUUUUCACAGAUGAAUUAUACUCAAAAUAUCUGUCUAAGGAGGUACUGAGACAAUAUGAAAACAGUAACUGUUCAACGACAUACAAAAAGUGCAGUUACACUCAACAAUUAAAAGGUAACCAGGCAAACUGAUAAACAGAUAAUCGUCAAUGUGCAUCUGCUAUAACUAGAAUAUGUGAACUGAAACAAAACUAGUUGUGGAUAACAGGGGACAAAGCAUUUGUGUGCAACUGAACAAUUACAA
RNAcentral lists this long non-coding RNA (7588 nucleotides) under Xyrichtys novacula (pearly razorfish). The record is from RNAcentral. Lineage: Eukaryota; Metazoa; Chordata; Actinopteri; Labriformes; Labridae.